This 893-nucleotide ribosomal RNA is filed under the name Enterobacter cloacae. RNAcentral's name for it is "bacterial SSU rRNA". It matches the Rfam family "Bacterial small subunit ribosomal RNA", at positions 69 to 951 of the family's 1533-position model. The record is from RNAcentral. Lineage: Bacteria; Pseudomonadati; Pseudomonadota; Gammaproteobacteria; Enterobacterales; Enterobacteriaceae.
GUAGCACAGAGAGCUUGCUCUCGGGUGACGAGUGGCGGACGGGUGAGUAAUGUCUGGGAAACUGCCUGAUGGAGGGGGAUAACUACUGGAAACGGUAGCUAAUACCGCAUAACGUCGCAAGACCAAAGAGGGGGACCUUCGGGCCUCUUGCCAUCAGAUGUGCCCAGAUGGGAUUAGCUAGUAGGUGGGGUAACGGCUCACCUAGGCGACGAUCCCUAGCUGGUCUGAGAGGAUGACCAGCCACACUGGAACUGAGACACGGUCCAGACUCCUACGGGAGGCAGCAGUGGGGAAUAUUGCACAAUGGGCGCAAGCCUGAUGCAGCCAUGCCGCGUGUAUGAAGAAGGCCUUCGGGUUGUAAAGUACUUUCAGCGGGGAGGAAGGUGUUGUGGUUAAUAACCGCAGCAAUUGACGUUACCCGCAGAAGAAGCACCGGCUAACUCCGUGCCAGCAGCCGCGGUAAUACGGAGGGUGCAAGCGUUAAUCGGAAUUACUGGGCGUAAAGCGCACGCAGGCGGUCUGUCAAGUCGGAUGUGAAAUCCCCGGGCUCAACCUGGGAACUGCAUUCGAAACUGGCAGGCUAGAGUCUUGUAGAGGGGGGUAGAAUUCCAGGUGUAGCGGUGAAAUGCGUAGAGAUCUGGAGGAAUACCGGUGGCGAAGGCGGCCCCCUGGACAAAGACUGACGCUCAGGUGCGAAAGCGUGGGGGAGCAAACAGGAUUAGAUACCCUGGUAGUCCACGCCGUAAACGAUGUCGAUUUGGAGGUUGUGCCCUUGAGGCGUGGCUUCCGGAGCUAACGCGUUAAAUCGACCGCCUGGGGGAGUACGGCCGCAAGGUUAAAACUCAAAUGAAUUGACGGGGGCCCGCACAAGCGGUGGAGCAUGUGGUUUAAUU